AGUCAGCUAGCUUGCGACCAUUCAUCAAUUCUCG
Molecule: small nuclear RNA, 34 nt
Filed under: Eremothecium sinecaudum
Lineage: Eukaryota; Fungi; Ascomycota; Saccharomycetes; Saccharomycetales; Saccharomycetaceae
Description: HBLSNR70
Source: RNAcentral